Long non-coding RNA from Myzus persicae (green peach aphid), 585 nucleotides. RefSeq lists it as uncharacterized. NCBI's taxonomy places the organism in Eukaryota, Metazoa, Arthropoda, Insecta, Hemiptera, Aphididae. The record is from RefSeq and is a predicted model, not a curated record. The transcript has 2 exons.
AAAAUAUACUAUUUUUAACUUAUUAUGAAUUGGGUUUUUACAAACAAUAUCACCAAAAUCGAUAGUCCAUAAUCGACGAAUUUUAGUAUUUUUGUUUUUCACCGCAAUACCGCAUAUCGCAUUAUUCGCAUUGAUUAUUUGUCAUUUGACUAUUGACUGGUUAACGGCUAACAAGUUAAACUAUUAUUAAUUGAAUAGAAAUUAUUUGCGAUCUUUAAUGUAAAUAAACUGUCUUCUGUGGCCUCGGUUAGUACUAAUGUCACAGACGAUACGGACCCAGACGACACUUUAAGUAGUCUAGGAAGUAUAGCUACAGUUGAAUCCACAAAAUGUGUCGAUUUGGUGCCUGAAACUUGUGAUCUAGGAACUUUACUGACUGGUCCAGCUCGUCCAGUACUUGAGUCGUAUUCAAAAACUGUUUUUGGGAAACAAAACCGUGGUUUUAAUUCCGUUUAUUAUUCUAGCUUUAAUUGGCUAGAAUAUAGUAUAAUGCUAUUUGCUGUUUUUGCUGUCGCAAUUUUAGCGUAGCAAGUGAUAAUAAUGAUUCUACGUUUACGAGUAUUGGAUUCAACAACUGGAAAAAAG